GGGCAGUUGGCGCAGUGGUAGCGCGCCUCAUUUGCACCUAGGUUUAUGGCCAAGGUUAGCCGGAAAGCUUGAGGAGGUCAUGGGUUCAAAUCCCAUACUGUCCA
Transfer RNA from Tulasnella calospora, 104 nucleotides. It matches the Rfam family "tRNA". From Rfam's summary of the family: Transfer RNA (tRNA) molecules are approximately 80 nucleotides in length. Their secondary structure includes four short double-helical elements and three loops (D, anti-codon, and T loops). The record is from Rfam. NCBI's taxonomy places the organism in Eukaryota, Fungi, Basidiomycota, Agaricomycetes, Cantharellales, Tulasnellaceae.